GACGAACCGAGCGAACGUUGUUCGGAAUAACUGGGCUUAAAGGGCGCGUAGGCGGGCUGUCAAGUCUGGGGUCAAAUCCCGCGGCUGAACCGCGGAACCGCCUCGGAUACUGACGGCCUCGAGGGGGGUAGGGGCGAGCGGAACUAAUGGUGGAGCGGUGAAAUGCGUUGAUAUCAUUAGGAACUCCGGUGGCGAAGGCGGCUCGCUGGACCUCUUCUGACGCUGAGGCGCGAAAGCUAGGGGAGCAAACGGG
This 253-nucleotide ribosomal RNA is filed under the name uncultured bacterium. Its description in RNAcentral is "partial 16S ribosomal RNA". It matches the Rfam family "Bacterial small subunit ribosomal RNA", at positions 524 to 776 of the family's 1533-position model. The record is from RNAcentral.